Molecule: ribosomal RNA, 248 nt
Filed under: uncultured Actinomycetales bacterium
Lineage: Bacteria; Bacillati; Actinomycetota; Actinomycetes; Actinomycetales
Description: partial 16S ribosomal RNA
Rfam family: Bacterial small subunit ribosomal RNA
Source: RNAcentral
CACUGGUACUCGAGUGGCGAACGGGUGAGUAACACGUGGGUGAUCUGCCUUGCACUCUGGGAUAAGCUUGGGAAACUGGGUCUAAUACCGGAUAGGAACCGUCUUUAGUGUGGUGGUUGGAAAGUUUUUCGGUGCAAGAUGAGCUCGCGGCCUAUCAGCUUGUUGGUGGGGUAAUGGCCUACCAAGGCGUCGACGGGUAGCCGGCCUGAGAGGGUGUACGGCCACAUUGGGACUGAGAUACGGCCCAG